RNAcentral lists this long non-coding RNA (893 nucleotides) under Fragaria vesca (wild strawberry). Its description in RNAcentral is "long non-coding RNA (FVES_LNC003579)". The record is from RNAcentral. Lineage: Eukaryota; Viridiplantae; Streptophyta; Magnoliopsida; Rosales; Rosaceae.
AAUUAUUUAUGGUAUAACCUAUUAAGAUUUUGUCCAUAAACAUAAAUAGAACCUCAUUUGUCAUUCCAUCAUCUUUGUAGCCGAUAUUCUCUAGGAUCUCAUGGACUGCAGUCAAAUCCCUUCUGGAGCAGGCUUCACCAAGUGGUGAAAGAGGAGAGCAGGAGUUAGUGUGCGGGAUACCCAUCAAAACAUGAGAAGGAAUCUGCAGUGUAUGCAAAGCAAAAUAAUAAGAAUUACAGCUACUAGCAUCUUGUUAAGCGUCUAUAAUUGAUCGAACUAUUUAGUAGUAGGGUGGGUGUACAUAUUAGGAGCAAUUUGAAUUUGUACCUUACUAAUUUGCACACACUUUCAAAGAGAUAAAAAUCUUGGAGAAAAUUCUGUAACUACCGACAUCCAGACUUUUAGUUAUGGGUUUUAAGGAAUUCAAAAUCCGUUGCAAUCCCUGUAAUUAACAACCUGAUUUUUGGUUUGUUACAGAUUCUUAAAUAUAGUGUCAAGAACAUCACUGGCCAUGGAAGGCACUGAAAAAAAUUAUUAUCCUGUGCCUUCUAAUUUCACUUCCAAUUAUUGAAAGGUUCUCCUUAUAAAUAUACUGGUUAAAGACUGCCAAAAAUCUUGACCAAAACAAAAAAGGCUGCCAAAAAGAAGUGAUCUAAAUUCUAAUGAAGGAAGUCAAAUGAUCGGGAAUGGAAUUUAUAAAUUAUACCUCAGUUUCUUUCUGAAGAGUAGUCAAUGCAGCUACUAAUGACUUUGGAUUUGGUCGCUCUCGAGGUUCAGAUUGUAAACAUCGCGAAGCCAAGCGUACCAAUUCAGUACCAUCAUCUUGAGACAGCUGUCCUUCCAAGCACGAAUCUGUCAGCAUCUGAAGAUUUCUGUCCCUAAUUAGGUCUAGG